GGGAAGGUAGCUCAGAGGUAGAGCGGCGUUGUAUGCGCGGGUCGCCGGUUCGAAUCCGGCCCUUCCCU
RNAcentral lists this transfer RNA (68 nucleotides) under Lysobacter enzymogenes. RNAcentral describes it as "tRNA-OTHER". It matches the Rfam family "tRNA". Rfam says of the family: Transfer RNA (tRNA) molecules are approximately 80 nucleotides in length. Their secondary structure includes four short double-helical elements and three loops (D, anti-codon, and T loops). Further hydrogen bonds mediate the characteristic L-shaped molecular structure. tRNAs have two regions of fundamental functional importance: the anti-codon, which is responsible for specific mRNA codon recognition, and the 3' end, to which the tRNAs corresponding amino acid is attached (by aminoacyl-tRNA synthetases). tRNAs cope with the degeneracy of the genetic code in two manners: having more than one tRNA (with a specific anti-codon) for a particular amino acid; and 'wobble' base-pairing, i.e. permitting non-standard base-pairing at the 3rd anti-codon position. Lineage: Bacteria; Pseudomonadati; Pseudomonadota; Gammaproteobacteria; Lysobacterales; Lysobacteraceae. The record is from RNAcentral.